This is a long non-coding RNA of Oncorhynchus masou masou (cherry salmon), 839 nucleotides long. RefSeq lists it as uncharacterized. The record is from RefSeq and is a predicted model, not a curated record. The transcript has 3 exons. NCBI's taxonomy places the organism in Eukaryota, Metazoa, Chordata, Actinopteri, Salmoniformes, Salmonidae.
UGCCAGGUGCUCAGUUCAAGGCUGUUUACGUGCCAAGUUUUGGAUCUCAAUCCUCACGAUGUAGUCAAAAAGAUGGACAGCAAACGAAUGAGUACUUGAUCGAGUUGUCCAGCUCACGGAGAAGACAAGAUACAUUGUCAACAAAAAAGAUCAAAUUAACGAAGUGUAACAGCAAGCCUGCACUGUCCAAGAAGAAACGAAAGGAUGAGAGAAGGUCGAUGCCUCCACCACGACCCGUGAUAGAGAGAAUGACAGCUGCCCGAUGUCAAGGUGAAGGAGAGAGAUCACAGAGACGGAGAAGUCCUCGCGUUGGCCAAAUAUGCACUCCUCAGAGCAUGAUGAAUGAAGACCUCUUCUCCUUCUACCAGAGAGACGAGCACACGUCAACCAACCAACCUCAGUGGGCAGCCAGACAGGCUGUGUUAAGGACCAUCGGCAGGAUGCUGCAGGAGAACAGAAGCAUCAGAGAGAGACUGGUCUCCCUCAGCCAUAGCAGUCAGGCUAUACAUUGAACUCAGUCUGAAGACUAGAUUACAAUCUGGGAAUGAUACAUAGAUUAUGGAACUUCUCUUUCCCUCUCAAACUCAGGAAUGGAAUAGUUUGAUUUGUUUCCCUUAAAUGUUAUGAUUUUGUUUUAACCAAGUUUAUGGACUACCUGGCAAAUGUGCUGAUUUGAGAUGGAAUGAAGAUGAGGUUAUUUAUGUUACCUGAAGCUAAACCUGUACUGUACAUCUUGAACAAUCUGUUCCUAUAGUUUCCUCUGGUUGAAGAAAUAGACUAUAAGUUGGUUUUGAUGGGAAACACAGAUUUUUACUGUUGUCAACUAUUUUGACUGUUGU